CAAAAAAAAAAAAAAAAAAGGGGGAGGGAAAGGCUAGUACCUAAUUUGGGGACCCUAGAAGUGAGGUAGAGAAGUCUAGUGCAGACCUUGACUCUGAGAGCCGAGAGGGACCGCCAGCGCCCUCGCACUGGGACUGUGGUGUGUGCGACCGCCAGCAUCGCUCAUCUACAGAGGGAAGCAGUGUGGCUCCGAGGACGGAGAAGCCCGUGGGCUGAGCCUCAGCACCUCCAAGACCUGAGAGUGACCGGCUGUUAUUCCGUCCUGCUGGCCAUCUCUGUGGCGAUAAGGACUGGGUUGUUUUGGGAUUCCUCGCCUUGGAUUGAGUCCUGCGUACCAUCCCAUGCUGGUGGAGCACUCAGUUGCCCUGGAGUUUCUGUCCUGGUGGUCCGAGAGAUGGGAAGUUCUCCUGCCGGUCAUUUCCAUCUGUGGUUGGCUUGUUUUGUGAAAGUUGCACACUUGCUGGAUAGGAGAAGGGAGCUGCUCCCGCAGAUCCUCAGGCCUGGCAAUCCUCUUACAUUCACCAGUGGAAGUGGGUUUGACAACUGCUUCUAGGUGAGCUCUCUUCUGCUAUUUCUCGGGGAGCAAGAAAGCACACGGGCUUCUCCAGCACCACCCUGUGUGGGGCCCACCUCUGGGGGUGCAGGGAAGCCUUGGGAUCAAAAGCAGAUUGAGCAGAAUCUAGGCGGGGUG
Molecule: long non-coding RNA, 690 nt
Filed under: Mustela putorius furo (domestic ferret)
Lineage: Eukaryota; Metazoa; Chordata; Mammalia; Carnivora; Mustelidae
Description: lncRNA (ENSMPUG00000025869.1)
Source: RNAcentral